CUAAUUGUGCUAGUAGACAAAAGGCUCUUUUAAAAACAUCUUCCCGUAGACUCACCAGCCAUAAUGUUCACCAUACUUACAGGUUGUGAUGAAAAAUAAAAAUACAGGGCUCUUUUGAGACCUCAUAAUUGGAAUGAGUACACUCUAAAUGCUUUAAAGAGGAUCAAUUGGAGGGCAAGUCAGGUGCCAGCAGCUGCGGUAAUUCAAGCCCCAAUAGCGAAUAUGAAAGUUGUUGCAGUUAAAAAGCUCGUAAUUGGAUCUCAGUUCCAGACGGGCGGUCUGCGUACCGAAGGUUACUGUCUGUUCUGAGCAGCCAGCUGGUUUCCUUUGAUGAUUUUCAUCUGUUGUCUUGGGUGACCGACUAAUCCAUUUUGGAAAAAAUAGAGUGCUCAAAGCAGGCAUGACGCCUGAAUAAUAGUGCAUGGAAUAAUGGAAUAUGACCUCGGUUCUAUUUUCUUGGUUUUUUGGAAUAUGAGGUAAUGAUUAAGAGGGGCAGAUGGAGGCAUUCGCAUUGGAAUGCUAGAGGUGAAAUUCUUGGACUGUUGCAAUACAAACUACUGCAAAAGCAUUUGCCAAGAAUGUUUCCAUUAAUCAAGAACGAAAGUUAGAGGUUCGAAGGCGAUCAGAUACUGCCCUAGUUCUAUUAAAUCUA
This 652-nucleotide non-coding RNA is filed under the name Stegodyphus mimosarum. RNAcentral describes it as "Eukaryotic small subunit ribosomal RNA". It matches the Rfam family "Eukaryotic small subunit ribosomal RNA", at positions 1 to 1039 of the family's 1831-position model. The record is from Rfam by way of RNAcentral. Lineage: Eukaryota; Metazoa; Arthropoda; Arachnida; Araneae; Eresidae.